RNAcentral lists this long non-coding RNA (314 nucleotides) under Olea europaea (common olive). RNAcentral describes it as "long non-coding RNA (OEUR_LNC002222)". Lineage: Eukaryota; Viridiplantae; Streptophyta; Magnoliopsida; Lamiales; Oleaceae. The record is from RNAcentral.
UAAAUCCACAUUACGGAAAGUAGCAGAGGUUAAAUGGGUCAAAUUGUAGGAUACAAUAGAUUUGUUAGCAAAAGGAAGAUUAGGCAAUCCAAUUCUUGAAUCUGUUGCAAUUAUUGGCCUAUUCUUUUUCAUUUCUUGGUGGGCCUUCAACUUGAUUUAAAUUUCAUUCGUCGGAGCCCCGUCGGUGAAACCGCCGUCACUGCAGCAGCAUUUAACGAUGCGACAGCUUUGAUUUUAUUAGCGCUCGCCAUUGCUUUGGCAGGUAACGAUGACAAUGACCCCAACAAAAGUCUACUGAUUUUCAUAUAGGUGUG